Salvelinus namaycush (lake trout) is the source of this 1114-nucleotide RNA transcript. It is a transcript of the gene named nicotinamide riboside kinase 2-like, with no coding region annotated. The transcript has 7 exons. Lineage: Eukaryota; Metazoa; Chordata; Actinopteri; Salmoniformes; Salmonidae. The record is from RefSeq and is a predicted model, not a curated record.
UCAAGUAGCCUAUAAAUUCAAUGACCUGCGCAUCUUUAUCAAUAAAAUAAUAAAAUACAGCUAGCUUGACCGGGACACAAGCUAAAGGAGAAUAAGACCAACACUUGAACUACUCUACAGAGUAUUAUUUUUAUUCUUCACUGUGUUUGCUGUGAGUGUCACUUCAACUGGGACUUGGAGCAGAAGUCUCAAGAACACGACUCAAAAUGAAAUGCGUUAUAGGAAUUGGCGGUGUGACCAACGGUGGGAAAACAACUUUGACGAAUAGACUGAUCAAGUCAUUGCCUAACUGUUGUGUGGUGCAUCAAGAUGACUUUUUCAGGAAACCUGAUCAUAUAGAAGUCGGGGCGGACGGCUUUAGACAGUGGGAUGUGAUCACAGCAUUGGACAUGGAUGCCAUGGCGAAUACAAUACGAGGAUGGGCUGAGAACCCAGUGAAGUUUGCCUGCUCCCACGGUGUCAAUGUGUCUCCUGCCACGGAGGUGGCUGACCCAGAUCAACUGGUCCACAUUCUGAUCGUGGAGGGCUUCCUUCUGUACAAUUAUAAGUCCCUGAUGGAUGUGUACAACAAGUGCUACUACAUCUCCAUUCCAUAUGAAGAGUGCAAAAGGAGGAGGAGUACAAGACAAUACACCGUCCCAGACCCUCCUGGGCUGUUUGAUGGCCAUGUGUGGCCCAUGUACUUAAAGCACAGGAAAGAGAUGGUGGAAAGCUGUUUGGCCAUCAGUGUGUCUAUUUUAAUUUUCUGUUUGUCAGUAAGCAUUCUUGAAUUUAAGCUGUGCAGUUAUGUAGAUAUUUUAGUGGUGCUAGGUAGUAGCGAUCUCUUCUGGCAAAUGUCCUGAUCAGUGUUUACAUUCUGCUACAGCGUAUUUGGAUGGUUUGAAAUCUAAAGAAGAGCUCUACAGCCAGGUCUAUGAGGACAUCCAGAAUACACUGUUGAAUCGUUUAUAGCAGGAACUUGAUCUCCAAACCUGUAAAUAGCUCCAAGACUGAAGACUCAUUGUUUUAUACUUUUUAUGUUUUUCUCAUUGUAUUCCUUGUAAAUAGUAUUUGUAAAAUGUACUUGCCAAGAUCUCAUUAAUCUCCAAUUAAAUUGGGUUGUCACUAUUCCAAG